CCCUUAGAUGUUCUGGGCAGCACGCGCGCUACAAUGGUCUUCGCAAACGGAUGCAUUCUCGAAGGAGAAUGCCAAUCUUGGAAUCUAUGCCUUGGUCGGGACAGUUGCUUGCAAUUUUUCGACUGGAACCAGGAAUUCCUUGUAAUCGUGAUUCAUCACAUCACGAUGAAUACGUCCCUGCCCUUUGUACACACCGCCCGUCGCUCCUACCGAUCGAAGAGUUAGGUGAAUUGUUUUGAUCGAUAAGAUUUGACUAUGGUCAACUCUCGUUGUGAAAUUCUGUGAAUCUGACUGUUUAGAGGAAGGAAAAGUCGUAACA
RNAcentral lists this ribosomal RNA (319 nucleotides) under uncultured eukaryote. RNAcentral describes it as "partial 18S ribosomal RNA". It matches the Rfam family "Eukaryotic small subunit ribosomal RNA", at positions 1470 to 1796 of the family's 1831-position model. The record is from RNAcentral.